UGUGUCUAACAGAAAGGAAGGGAUGCCUGCACCACCUUCUGCUUGUGGGAACCCAUGGAUCAUGCACACAAAACAACCAGCCAACAUCUGGCAUCUGGGGUGUUCAGUGCCUCCCAGUGGCCUGGACCAGUUCUCAUGCAGAGAAACACCCCAAGAAGGGAUCCUGGUGUUUACUCCACACAGAAUACAAAAGGAACCAGGCUCCCUGGAGUGGCGCAAUGGUCUGGCCCUAUAACAACUUCAGUCCUAAUCUUUAAAAAAAUGAAAAUUGUGUUUAUUUAUUUAUUUUUAUGUACUUGAAAGGCAGAGAGAGGCAGAGGGGGAAAGAGAAAGAGAGACCUUACAUCUGCCGAUUCACUCCCCAAAUGCCCACACCAGCAGGGGCUGGGACAGGCUAGAGCCUUCAGCCAGGAACUCCAGCCAGGUCUCCCACAUGGAUGGCAGAGCCCAGGAUGCAUUCACAGGGAACCACAUCAGAGUGAAGGAAGAGGAACUUGAACCAAGCACUCUGACGUGGAACGUGAGAGUCCCAAAGGGAAGCUUAACCCGCAGCACCCCAACAACCCCAGUCCUAAUUUUGGUAGCUUUUUUAUUUUAUUUUAUUUUUUUUUUGCAGUUACACUCUUUCUUCUUGCACCCACUUUAGUGGGUUCUCUCACCGCUUCCCUUCUAAGCUGAGCCUAUUCUAAACCACACCCUUUUCCUCCACUUACCUCCAAGUUGCACCCUCUGUGAGCUGUAGCAUCACGUUCAUGCCACCAAGGUUGAAAACACAACACAAUGUGCCAGACCCAAAAUGAGGACUUGGUGACUUUUUCUGUAGGUGAAUCCUACAACUUGAAAAUCAAGCAACAAAGACCAAAGACCAGAAACGUUCACUUAUCCUGAUGAUGUGAAUGCAUCAGCUCACAGAGCCAUAGGGAGCAUUCUAGUAUUCUAGAUCUACAUUUCAUUCUCUCUCAAGGGAGGAGUUUCCAAGCUUGUGGCUCAAAUUCAUGUCUUCCUCUUCAGAGCGGUGCACUCUAUUAAUCUCUCUGAACACCCCUCAUUAAUUGUGUUUCAUAUUUGGCUCCCAAGUUUCUCCUUCUGAUUCCCAUGCCCCUACAAACACCCUUGAAGGGACUAAUUUCCUCCCUCUCCCUCUCUCCAUCCUUACUUCAUUCCUCCCUUCCUCUUUCUCUUCCUUCUUCCUUCCUCCCUCCUUCUCUUCCUUAUACUUGCUGAUAACAUCAUUGCAUGUCCUCUGUCUGCCCACGAUUCCAUCUGUUGGUAAUCAUUCAAUUUCUUUACCAGAAAUAAGCUUCUUGGAGUCCACCUCCCUCCAACCCACCCACCCACACACACACCCACACACACACCCCACACACACAGCAGUAUCCAUUCUCAAUCCCAGUCCACUGCUGCCCAGUUUCCAUCCUCAAUUGUCCCUUGUUUCAGUUCUACCAGCACUAGCACAAGCCUAGACAGGGAGUUCAAUGGCAUAUCUGUUCAGAGAACAAAUAGAUGUUUCUUUAUAUUCUUGGUUUCUACUCCUCCACUCACUGCCAAUCUCUGGUUGCCUGACCUGUCCUAGAGUCUGUCCUGAGUUAUCCUUGGGAGAUGAGCUCCUAUACCACAAUAUCCCCUGCUCUGGCAUUUUCUGGCCUGAGACUUUUCCCACUUUAUCCAUCAGUGAUUCUUAAGCUGAUUUCCAUCUUUCUGCAAUGUAUUGAGAUCUGUCAACCACAAACCACAGCCUCCCACAUCUGCUGCUGCUUGGGCAUUCUAUUUCUAUUUUGAGUUUCUCCUGGCAGAGUUGGGAGUCAUAAGUUCAUUCAUUUGAGAGGGAGAACCAAGAAGGCAGCGGCAGGUGAUGGAUGCAGGUGGAUGAGUAUAACAGGUGGAGUCAUGUCCAUGUCAAUAAUUAGGACUCUUCUUGCUGGCCAUGUCUUGUCCCCAGCUGCCCCCUGGCUGAUUCCACAGUCACUUUGGAAGCAUAGCAGAUUGAACAUGAAGUGAGAAAAGGUUGUUGAAUUUCCCCUGUCACGACUGUUAUUAUUUGUUCCGUCUUCAGAGUUAGAAUUCCACUGAUAAUGGGAAACUGAUGAGUAAUAAACAUCAUGCCUGCCUCUUGGAAGUACUGUAA
Oryctolagus cuniculus (rabbit) is the source of this 2125-nucleotide long non-coding RNA. NCBI's taxonomy places the organism in Eukaryota, Metazoa, Chordata, Mammalia, Lagomorpha, Leporidae. The record is from Ensembl.